UGGCUCAGAUUGAACGCUGGCGGCAGGCCUAACACAUGCAAGUCGAGCGGUAACAGAAAGUAGCUUGCUACUUUGCUGACGAGCGGCGGACGGGUGAGUAAUGCUUGGGAACAUGCCUUGAGGUGGGGGACAACAGUUGGAAACGACUGCUAAUACCGCAUAAUGUCUACGGACCAAAGGGGGCUUCGGCUCUCGCCUUUAGAUUGGCCCAAGUGGGAUUAGCUAGUUGGUGAGGUAAUGGCUCACCAAGGCAACGAUCCCUAGCUGGUUUGAGAGGAUGAUCAGCCACACUGGGACUGAGACACGGCCCAGACUCCUACGGGAGGCAGCAGUGGGGAAUAUUGCACAAUGGGCGCAAGCCUGAUGCAGCCAUGCCGCGUGUGUGAAGAAGGCCUUCGGGUUGUAAAGCACUUUCAGUCAGGAGGAAAGGUUAGUAGUUAAUACCUGCUAGCUGUGACGU
RNAcentral lists this ribosomal RNA (460 nucleotides) under Pseudoalteromonas agarivorans. Its description in RNAcentral is "bacterial SSU rRNA". It matches the Rfam family "Bacterial small subunit ribosomal RNA", at positions 20 to 475 of the family's 1533-position model. Lineage: Bacteria; Pseudomonadati; Pseudomonadota; Gammaproteobacteria; Alteromonadales; Pseudoalteromonadaceae. The record is from RNAcentral.